GGGACCCGUCUUGAAACACGGACCAAGGAGUCUAGCAUGUGCGCGAGUCAUUGGGAUUUUUACUAAACCUAAAGGCGCAAUGAAAGUGAAGGUCCGCCUUGCGCGGACCGAGGGAGGAUGGACCGUUCCGAGGGACGGCCUCGCACUCCCGGGGCGUCUCGCUCUCAUCGCGAGAAGAGGCGCACCCAGAGCGUACACGCUGGGACCCGAAAGAUGGUGAACUAUGCCUGGUCAGGACGAAGUCAGGGGAAACCCUGAUGGAGGUCCGUAGCGAUUCUGACGUGCAAAUCGAUCGUCGGAACUGGGUAUAGGGGCGAAAGACUAAUCGAACCAUCUAGUAGCUGGUUCCCUCCGAAGUUUCCCUCAGGAUAGCUGGCGCUCGCUUCUCGCGAGUCUCAUUCGGUAAAGCGAAUGAUUAGAGGCAUUGGGGUCGAAACGGCCUCAACCUAUUCUCAAACUUUAAAUGGGUGAGAUCUCCGGCUUGCUUGAACUGUGAAGCCGCGAGAUAUCGGAUCAGAGUGCCAAGUGGGCCACUUUUGGUAAGCAGAACUGGCGCUGUGGGAUGAACCAAACGCUGAGUUAAAGCGCCUAAAUCGACGCUUAUGGGAUACCAUGAAAGGCGUUGGUAACUUAAGACAGCAGGACGGUGGCCA
RNAcentral lists this ribosomal RNA (653 nucleotides) under Maladera thomsoni. Its description in RNAcentral is "eukaryotic LSU rRNA". It matches the Rfam family "Eukaryotic large subunit ribosomal RNA", at positions 644 to 1254 of the family's 3401-position model. Lineage: Eukaryota; Metazoa; Arthropoda; Insecta; Coleoptera; Scarabaeidae. The record is from RNAcentral.